RNAcentral lists this transfer RNA (77 nucleotides) under Minisyncoccota bacterium. Its description in RNAcentral is "tRNA-Ile". It matches the Rfam family "tRNA". Rfam says of the family: Transfer RNA (tRNA) molecules are approximately 80 nucleotides in length. Their secondary structure includes four short double-helical elements and three loops (D, anti-codon, and T loops). Lineage: Bacteria; Bacillati; Minisyncoccota. The record is from RNAcentral.
GGGUGUGUAGCUCAGGUGGUUAGAGCGCUGUCCUGAUAAGACAGAGGUCCCAUGUUCGAGUCAUGGCAUACCCACUA